This 253-nucleotide ribosomal RNA is filed under the name uncultured Eubacteriales bacterium. RNAcentral describes it as "uncultured Clostridiales bacterium partial 16S ribosomal RNA". It matches the Rfam family "Bacterial small subunit ribosomal RNA", at positions 524 to 776 of the family's 1533-position model. The record is from RNAcentral. Lineage: Bacteria; Bacillati; Bacillota; Clostridia; Eubacteriales.
UACGUAGGUGGCAAGCGUUAUCCGGAUUUAUUGGGCGUAAAGCGAGCGCAGGCGGUUGCUUAGGUCUGAUGUGAAAGCCUUGGGCUUAACCCGAGGAUUGCAUUUGGAACUAUCAAGCUAGAGUACAGGAGAGGAAAGCGGAAUUCCUAGUGUAGCGGUGAAAUGCGUAGAUAUUAGGAAGAACACCAGUGGCGAAGGCGGCUUUCUGGACUGAAACUGACGCUGAGGCACGAAAGCGUGGGGAGCGAACAGG